AAAACUCAUCUCAGUGACUUGAUUAUGAAAUGCUACCAGUUUGAAGCAGUCACUGAAAAACAUAAGGUCAUAAAUCAGGAAUCCAGAAGAAACAAUGAAUAGCAACUUUAUCUUCACUUCACUUCUAACACUGGCUCUCCAAGGGUCUGGGAGAGCAGACUGGAUCAAGCCCCAGGAGACAGAAGUAUCUGGAACAGAAGGGAAGACUGUGAACCUACUUUGUAACUAUGGUACAUCAUCGGGGAGCUAUCUUGAUCUCUGCUGGUUUUGACAGUAUCCGAGCCAGGCAUCAGAAUACAUUCUCUACAGAGGGUGGGGAUAUUCUGGAAAAGGAGAUGCCAGUUUUGCCAUAGGAAAGUUUAUUCAAAGAGUACAGCAAAUGCAAUAAAUGUGUACAUUAGAAAUCUGGUUCCUGCA
This 417-nucleotide long non-coding RNA is filed under the name Homo sapiens (human). RNAcentral's name for it is "novel transcript". The record is from RNAcentral. Lineage: Eukaryota; Metazoa; Chordata; Mammalia; Primates; Hominidae.